RNAcentral lists this ribosomal RNA (1419 nucleotides) under Triticum aestivum (bread wheat). RNAcentral describes it as "partial small subunit ribosomal RNA". The record is from RNAcentral. Lineage: Eukaryota; Viridiplantae; Streptophyta; Magnoliopsida; Poales; Poaceae.
AUGGCGGAGACGGUGCCGGCGACGGCGCUGGACAUCGACGAGAUCCCCUUCGCCGACCUCCUCCUCCUGCUGCUCUCGCCGGAAGCGGCAGCAGCGGGCGACGCCGAUGGCCGGCGGCGCCGCCUCCUGGCCACCGUCUGGGCCGCGCUCGGCCCAGGCGGCACCGGGCUUCUGGCCGUCUCCGGUGUCCCGCGCGCCGCCAACCUCCGCCGCCGGCUCCUCCCCCUGGCCCGCCGCCUCGCAAUCAUGGACCACCCUUCCCGCGCCCACCUCCUCAAGAAGUACGGAUUGGGCAGCGACGUGCCUCUUAAGAAGCCCGACAGGUCCGUCUCCUCCUUCGCGCGGCUCCUAAGGCACGAUUCAGGCAAGCUCCACUCCCUGGAGUCGAUGUGCGAAGCCACCGGAGACACCGAGAUCAGGCCUGGUUGUCCGGACGGGGAACAAAAGGGUGAUGCUGAUGAUGACAUGGAGAACCUUGGUGAUCUUUUCAAGGAGCUGGGUCUGUGCAUGAUGGAGCUUGGCAUCUUGGUUGCCCGGGCCUGCGACAUUGUUAUCGGUGGGAAUCAGCUGGAGCAGAGCAUUACCGACUCUGGAAGCGCAAAGGCGAGGCUCAUCCACUACCACUCUGAGUUGGAUAACAGGAUUAUCAAGGAGAUGAGCAGCACAAGGAGGAAAAACUUGGCAAACAAUGCAGCAGCAGCAAGACCUGUAUCGGAUCACAUGGAUACAUAUCAAAUGCCAGGAUCAGAAAGAUCGAAAAAAGAUGGGAUGGCCGUUGUAAAGUCAGCCGAAGAAAAUGAGUCCCAAGGUGCCGCAGUACAAGGUCAUGUCAGCACGAUUUCUCUUGUGAACUUAUGGCAAGAGUGGCACUACGACUAUGGAGUGCUGACAGUCUUAACAGCGCCAUUAUUCUUGCGCUCUGCUCUCGGACAGGAAUGCCCGGUCAGCGAAGAAUGCUCUGUUCCUGAUGGGCACUCACACCUGCAGCUCUUCAGUAAAAGGAGGAUUUUCUCAGUGAGAUGCUCCCAGGAGAGCUUUAUUGUUCAGGUUGGGGAGGCAGCAGGCAUCCUGUCAGGGGGGAAACUGAGAUCUACGCUUCAUGCUGUCAGUAGACCUUUAGGCUUGCCAAACAUCAGCCGAGAGACUUUCGUGGUUUUCCUACAGCCGUCAUGGGACAAAACUCUACCUUUCUCGGGUUACUCUUGUGCCGAUGAAGAUGAUUCAAGUGAUCACAUGGAAUUGGCUUUCAGGGGUGAUGGACCAGCCGGGUGUUGUGGUGAACAUAUACUGAUGCAGGAGAUUCUGAAGAAGAUCCCCCCGCUGUCGUCAAGGCUGAAAGAAGGAAUGACGUUUGCAGAGUUUUCUAGGCAGACAACAAAACAGUAUUAUGGUGGUGGAGGCAUCCAACAAAACAGUUAA